Molecule: long non-coding RNA, 113 nt
Organism: Mytilus californianus (California mussel)
Lineage: Eukaryota; Metazoa; Mollusca; Bivalvia; Mytilida; Mytilidae
Exons: 3
Source: RefSeq, a predicted model, not a curated record
CUGCUUUAACACCACUUGAGUCAAAGGUUAUUUCUAUCAUUCCCAGAGUUGCCUGCUAUGGAAUUACUGGUGGUAUUGACACCGACAGUGCAUUAGUGUCCUCUGUACAGAUG